This 925-nucleotide long non-coding RNA is filed under the name Homo sapiens (human). Its description in RNAcentral is "HSALNT0385523". The record is from RNAcentral. Lineage: Eukaryota; Metazoa; Chordata; Mammalia; Primates; Hominidae.
GCGAGAAAUCAAACUUCGAACAGGACAAGCCCGAAGCCCGCUUCUCCGGGAGACGGGGUGCCACAAUUGCAAGGACCCUUGCUCCACAGAAUUCUUUGCCUGGAAUUUUCUUCCCAGAAUCUUUGCAUGUCAUUCCCUCUGUUGCUGAGUUACCGGGAUCUCAAUGUAAACGUUACGUACUGACAGAGGCUGCUGUGAACUGAAUUGCGUGCUUCCCAAAAUUCAUAUGUUGAUACUGUCACCCCCGGUACCUAAGGAUGUGACUACAUUUGGAGAUAGCAUCAUCAAAGAGGUAAUUAUAUUAAAAUGAGGUAUUUGGGGGUAGAGAUGAGGGAGUGGGGAGAUGGUCAAAUUAUACAAAAUUUCAGCUAGACAGGAGGAAUAAGGACAUCAGAUCUAUUGCAUUUGGUGACUACAGUUAAUGUAAUCUGUUCUUGAACAUUGCUAACACUGUAGAUUUUGAGUGCUCUCACAACAGAAAAAUGAUGGGUAUGUGCAGUAACACAUAUGCCAAUUAGCUUGGGUCAACCAUUCCACAAUGUAUGCAUAUUUAAAAACAGUUCCACAAAUGUAGACAAUUUUUAUUAGUUACUAGUUACAAUAAAAAAUGUUUUAAAAUGAUGACAUUAGGGUGGGCCCUGAUCCAAUCUAACUGAUGUCUCCAUACAAGAGGAGAUAAGGAUACAAAUGUGCACACACAGAGAAAUGACCACGUGAGGACACAAGGAGAAGGUGGCCACUUACAACCCUAGGAGAGAAGCCUUGGGGGCAACACACCCUGCCCACACCUUGACCCUGGACUUCAUCCCCCAGAUAAAGUCCUUCAUCCUCCAGAUAAAGUCCUUCAUCCUCCUUCAUCAUAUGGAACCUUCUGACCCUGAAUACUCUCCAAAUGCUGUAAUGUACCAAGGUGAAGGGACAGCAC